UGGGGAAUAUUGCACAAUGGGCGCAAGCCUGAUGCAGCCAUGCCGCGUGUGUGAAGAAGGCCUUCGGGUUGUAAAGCACUUUUAGCGGGGAGGAAGGCGUUAAGGUUAAUAACCUUGGCGAUUGACGUUACCCGCAGAAGAAGCACCGGCUAACUCCGUGCCAGCAGCCGCGGUAAUACGGAGGGUGCAAGCGUUAAUCGGAAUUACUGGGCGUAAAGCGCACGCAGGCGGUCUGUCAAGUCGGAUGUGAAAUCCCCGGGCUCAACCUGGGAACUGCAUUCGAAACUGGCAGGCUAGAGUCUUGUAGAGGGGGGUAGAAUUCCAGGUGUAGCGGUGAAAUGCGUAGAGAUCUGGAGGAAUACCGGUGGCGAAGGCGGCCCCCUGGACAAAGACUGACGCUCAGGUGCGAAAGCGUGGGGAGCAAACAGG
This 429-nucleotide ribosomal RNA is filed under the name Chloroflexota bacterium. Its description in RNAcentral is "Chloroflexi bacterium partial 16S ribosomal RNA". It matches the Rfam family "Bacterial small subunit ribosomal RNA", at positions 355 to 776 of the family's 1533-position model. The record is from RNAcentral. Lineage: Bacteria; Bacillati; Chloroflexota.